Molecule: ribosomal RNA, 376 nt
Filed under: uncultured bacterium
Lineage: Bacteria
Description: bacterial SSU rRNA
Rfam family: Bacterial small subunit ribosomal RNA
Source: RNAcentral
GACGAACGCUGGCGGCGUGCUUAACACAUGCAAGUCGAGCGGUAAGGCCCUUUCGGGGGUACACGAGCGGCGAACGGGUGAGUAACACGCGGGUGACCUGCCCUCAGCUCUGGGAUAAGCCUGGGAAACCGGGUCUAAUACCGGAUAUGACUCCAUGACGCAUGUUGUGGGGUGGAAAGCCUUGUGCGGCUGAGGAUGGGCCCGCGGCCUAUCAGCUUGUUGGUGGGGNGAUGGCCUACCAAGGCGACGACGGGUAGCCGGCCUGAGAGGGCGACCGGCACACUGGGACUGAGACACGGCCCACGACUCCUACGGGAGGGCAGCAGUGGGGAAUCUUGCGCAAUGGGCGAAAGCCUGACGCAGCGACGCCGCGUGA